RNAcentral lists this ribosomal RNA (243 nucleotides) under uncultured Actinomycetales bacterium. RNAcentral's name for it is "partial 16S ribosomal RNA". It matches the Rfam family "Bacterial small subunit ribosomal RNA", at positions 88 to 334 of the family's 1533-position model. The record is from RNAcentral. Lineage: Bacteria; Bacillati; Actinomycetota; Actinomycetes; Actinomycetales.
UACUCGAGUGGCGAACGGGUGAGUAACACGUGGGCGAUCUGCCCUGCACUUCGGGAUAAGCCUGGGAAACUGGGUCUAAUACCGGAUAGGAGCCAUUUUUAGUGUGAUGGUUGGAAAGUUUUUUCGGUGUAGGAUGAGCUCGCGGCCUAUCAGCUUGUUGGUGGGGUAAUGGCCUACCAAGGCGGCGACGGGUAGCCGGCCUGAGAGGGUGGACGGCCACAUUGGGACUGAGAUACGGCCCAG